GGCGAGCUGGGACGGCGGUCACUCUCCAGGGCCCUCGCGUUGGCACCAGCACAGCUGCAGUGACUCCUCGAUUGGUCCCGAGCGGGAUGGCAUCGUCGCCAGGCUGUUGCAGACAGCUAAGGGUGAGAUUCGGCCCGAGGAAGCUGUGGGGAGCGGCUGAGUCUCCGAAGAGCAGCAGUGGCUGUUGACUGCUGGACUGAGUGUUACCUGUGUCUUCUUUGACUGGGUGCAGGUCCGGGUCCCUGCUUUGACGGCAGCGCCAGGUCCUGGGAAACCUGCGCCCCUGCCCCAGAAAGCUGGUCGCGCUCUCGGACUUGUGGAGCAGUCGCAGCCCAGGAAGAAAAGUCGAAGACUUGAGGGGGCAACAGCGCAGGGACCACUGUGGCGCCCCGGGGGCCUGCGGUUCCCAGGGCCGCUCCCACCCGCCCCUAGCAACGGCCCACCGGCCCACCCUAGGGACAGCGAGUUCGAGGCCAGCCUGGGCUACUUAGCGAGUUGCUGCCUCAAAAAAAGAGGCCAGGUUGGAGGAGGUCACAGUGACAGUGACGAGGCAGAAGGCGAAGGGAGAGCAACCUCCCCCACGGCUGUGCCCCAAAAGACUGAAACUGGCAGUGCCAGCCUGGCGUGGUGGUGCAUGCCUGUCAUUCCGGCACUCUGGAAGGCUGAAGCAGGAGGAUGGCAAGUUGUAGACCAGCCCAGUACCAGGGGGAGAGAGAGAAAGAAAGAGAAAGAGAGAAAGGAGCUCCACAAACAUGCGUUCACACAAGUUCACAGCAGCGCUCUUCACGGGAGCCCCGAGGUGGCAGCAGCUCACCUGUCCAUCGGGAAGGGGUCCAGCUAAUCGAUGCAGACGGAAUGGUGGGGAAGAUGACCACCCAGGGACUUCCAGCUGGCCUGGGUGCUGAGCAUCAACGGCUGCUGGUGUGACACUUGGAAGCCACUAGACAUCAUGGCCUCCUGGGCAGAAUGCAUGUUCUGCGAGGAUCGAACUUCGGACCUUGCACUUGCGAGGCAGUUGCCGGAACCACUGAGCUAAAUCCCUGGUCCUUACGUCACAGUUUUGUAAUCAUCAGAAUCUAGAUGUGGCUAAUCUGUAAUAUCCAUGGUGUGGCUACUUUGAUGACCAAUUGUCAAAAAAAAAAAAGGUAAAAGGUAAAAGGUGAAGCUUGCAUUAAAGGGGAUUUCAGGACAUCAACCAAUCACAAUGUGGUCAUCUCAUGUAGCUCUUGAGUUUGUGAAACUGAAU
RNAcentral lists this long non-coding RNA (1246 nucleotides) under Heterocephalus glaber (naked mole-rat). Its description in RNAcentral is "lncRNA (ENSHGLG00000041824.1)". Lineage: Eukaryota; Metazoa; Chordata; Mammalia; Rodentia; Bathyergidae. The record is from RNAcentral.